UUAAAACCGAGUAUCUAGCU
Molecule: unclassified non-coding RNA, 20 nt
Filed under: Chlamydomonas reinhardtii
Lineage: Eukaryota; Viridiplantae; Chlorophyta; Chlorophyceae; Chlamydomonadales; Chlamydomonadaceae
Description: small RNA Cre_3698
Source: RNAcentral